GAAAUGCGAUAAGUAAUGUGAAUUGCAGAAUUCAGUGAAUCAUCGAAUCUUUGAACGCACCUUGCGCUCCUUGGUAUUCCUUGGAGCAUGCCUGUUUGAGUAUCAUGAAAUCUUCAAAGUAAAUCUUUUGUUAACUCAAUUGGUUUCUACUUUGGUAUUGGAGGUCUUUGCAGCUUCACACCUGCUCCUCUUUGUUCAUUAGCUGGAUCUCAGUGUUAUGCUUGGUUCCACUCGGCGUGAUAAGUUAUCUAUCGCUGAGGACACUGUAAAUGGUGGCCAAGGUAAAUGCAGACGAACCGCUUCUAAUAGUCCAUUGACUUGGACAAUACUUUUAUGAUCUGAUCUCAAAUCAGGUAGGACUACCCGCUGAACUUAAGC
This 378-nucleotide unclassified non-coding RNA is filed under the name plant metagenome. Its description in RNAcentral is "partial contains 5.8S ribosomal RNA, internal transcribed spacer 2, and large subunit ribosomal RNA". The stretch from base 1 to 105 matches the Rfam family "5.8S ribosomal RNA", at positions 50 to 154 of the family's 154-position model. The record is from RNAcentral.